This 232-nucleotide ribosomal RNA is filed under the name uncultured Cellulomonas sp. RNAcentral's name for it is "partial 16S ribosomal RNA". It matches the Rfam family "Bacterial small subunit ribosomal RNA", at positions 1152 to 1382 of the family's 1533-position model. The record is from RNAcentral. Lineage: Bacteria; Bacillati; Actinomycetota; Actinomycetes; Micrococcales; Cellulomonadaceae.
CCGGGGUCAACUCGGAGGAAGUGGGGAUGACGUCAAAUCAUCAUGCCCCUUAUGUCUUGGGCGUUCACGCAUGCUACAAUGGCCGGUACAAAGGGCUGCGAUACCGCGAGGUGGAGCGAAUCCCAGAAAGCCGGUCUCAGUUCGGAUUGGGGUCUGCAACUCGACCCCAUGAAGUCGGAGUCGCUAGUAAUCGCAGAUCAGCAACGCUGCGGUGAAUACGUUCCCGGGCCUU